RNAcentral lists this ribosomal RNA (302 nucleotides) under uncultured bacterium. Its description in RNAcentral is "partial 16S ribosomal RNA". It matches the Rfam family "Bacterial small subunit ribosomal RNA", at positions 508 to 807 of the family's 1533-position model. The record is from RNAcentral.
GCAGCAGCCGCGGUAAUACGAAGGGUGCAAGCGUUAAUCGGAAUUACUGGGCGUAAAGCGUGCGUAGGCGGUGAGUUAAGUCUGCUGUGAAAUCCCCGGGCUCAACCUGGGAAUUGCAGUGGAUACUGGGUCACUAGAGUGUGGUAGAGGAUAGUGGAAUUUCCGGUGUAGCAGUGAAAUGCGUAGAGAUCGGAAGGAACAUCUGUGGCGAAGGCGACUAUCUGGGCCAACACUGACACUGAGGCACGAAAGCGUGGGGAGCAAACAGGAUUAGAUACCCGCGUAGUCCCUGUCUCUUAUAC